This 1428-nucleotide long non-coding RNA is filed under the name Anser cygnoides (Swan goose). Its description in RNAcentral is "lncRNA (ENSACDG00005013423.1)". The record is from RNAcentral. Lineage: Eukaryota; Metazoa; Chordata; Aves; Anseriformes; Anatidae.
AUGGGGCGGCUGCCAGGGCUUGCAUCCACCGCUGCCAUCCUGCGGUUUGAGGUCACCGCUCCCUUUCCAGCCCCUCUUUCCUCCGCCCGAGCUCACGCCGCAGGGACAGCGGGCACGGGCCGAGCCCGGGGGGGGCCCACCCUGGGGUGCCACCCCCCCUCCCGGCACCCACCGUCCCCCCGCCGCGACACGGAGCUGCCGGGACCCCCGCGGCGGGGACACUCGGGAGGGUGCGAAGGGUCCCGUCCCCUCCCCGCUUCCCCGCAGCCCCCGAUGAGGGGCCGCUGGGGAAACCCUCGCCAUUGGGACCCCACCCGUGGGUUUCCACGCCGCGGGGGGGAAGAGGAGGAGGAGGAGGAGGAGGGCAGAGGGAAUGGGUGGCGGUGCUGGCAGCGGCCGCCCCCGUCCCGCCCCGUCCCGUCCCGCCCCGCCGCGGCCGCCGGGCACCGGGCACCGGGCAGGAGGAGGCUGCGGCGCCCAUGGAAGCGGCGGCGGCCCCGGUGCCGGGCGGCGGCCCCGGUCCCCUGCUGCUCUGCCUGGCCCUCGCCUCCGGUAAGCGGCGGCAGCGGGGCGGCGAGGGGGGGGCCUGCCCCGUUACGGGGCUCGCAUGGUCCUGGAGAGGGGUCCCCGCACCCUGAGCCCGCCCGGGGUGCUCCCGUCCCGUCCCGUCCCGUCCCGUCCCGUCCCGGUGCUCGCCGUGCCCAGCCCGGUGUCCCGCACGCCUGUCCCGAUGCCAUCUCCGGUCCCAUCCCCCGUGCCCCGCGGUGUCCCCAUGUCCUGUCCUGGUGGUCCCCGGUUGCGCCCGGCCGUGGGCGAGGGCUGCGCUCGGCUCUGAAUCCCUCGGGACUGAGCGGGGCACUUCUGUCACCUGCGCUGGGACCCUGCCCGCGGGUAGCCUUGUUGCCAUUGGACGUGUGGACAGAUGUGUGGACAGACGUGUGGACGUGUUGCGCUGUCCCAGGCAGCAGCAGGGAUGGAGGAUGCGGGCACAGCGAGCACCUCUCCAACAGGUGCACGCGUUGGCGCAGGAACGGGCGUCUUCCCGCUGCGGGGUCUGGCUCUUUGAGCACUAAAAGUGCACAAAAUGGGAAGGUCCCACCUCGGAGCGCUCCUUCCCACCUCUGGACGGGAGCAGCUCGGGCUCAGCCCUUUGGUGGGGCUGGUGUCACGCUCUGCCCAACCCGCACCCGCCCGGGGAAUGGUGCCCGACCUGUUUUGGGGCUGCGGUGCCCGGCACGGGGCGGAUGGAGAGCAUCAGAUCCAGCGCCGGGAGCCGCCGAUGGGCAGGCUGAGACCCAGGUUUUGGGGACCCCGCAGUGCCACCAGCACCCGCAGCAUCCCCGGUGCCACCACCCCGCUGAGGGGAGGCUGCCGGAGGGAGGCCACAGGGGCCUCGCGGAGGGCGGCUGCGGCAGCUGUUUGCAAUAA